Molecule: ribosomal RNA, 468 nt
Filed under: uncultured bacterium
Lineage: Bacteria
Description: partial 16S ribosomal RNA
Rfam family: Bacterial small subunit ribosomal RNA
Source: RNAcentral
GACGAACGCUGGCGGCGUGCUUAACACAUGCAAGUCGAACGGAAAGGCCCUGCUUUUGUGGGGUGCUCGAGUGGCGAACGGGUGAGUAACACGUGAGUAACCUGCCCUUGACUUUGGGAUAACUUCAGGAAACUGGGGCUAAUACCGGAUAGGAGCUCCUGCUGCAUGGUGGGGGUUGGAAAGUUUCGGCGGUUGGGGAUGGACUCGCGGCUUAUCAGCUUGUUGGUGGGGUAGUGGCUUACCAAGGCUUUGACGGGUAGCCGGCCUGAGAGGGUGACCGGCCACAUUGGGACUGAGAUGAGGCCCAGCCUCCUACGGGAGGCAGCGGUGGGGAAUAGUGCACAAUGGGCGGAAGGCUGGUGCAACAACGCCGCGUGCGGGAUAACAGCCUUCGGGUUGGAAACCGCUUUUGCCUGUGACGAAGCGUUAAUGACGGUAAUGGGUAAAGAAGCACCGGCUAACUACGUG